UGGCAUUGCUCUUCCAAACAGCACACUACUCACAACUCAGAGUGCCGGUUGUCCCCCCUGUGCAUAGCUGCACGGAAUCUGAACAGCAAUGGCACAAGCCACGGACAGUGGGUGUGAAGCCAGGACCCAUCAACUCCAUGAUCUUCACUAAGCCGGUACCAAAUAGGAUGGCCCAGACUGGAGUACGGAGUGGCUUCUACAGAGGCAUGGUGGGUCCGUUACCAGAUCCCUGCUUGUUCAGAAUAACGGAGGCAUAUGCAAAAUUUAAUAUUGAGGACAGGCCACUUGUGACCACAAU
Molecule: long non-coding RNA, 298 nt
Organism: Pelmatolapia mariae (spotted tilapia)
Lineage: Eukaryota; Metazoa; Chordata; Actinopteri; Cichliformes; Cichlidae
Exons: 3
Source: RefSeq, a predicted model, not a curated record